RNAcentral lists this long non-coding RNA (1042 nucleotides) under Brachypodium distachyon (stiff brome). RNAcentral describes it as "long non-coding RNA (BDIS_LNC005371)". Lineage: Eukaryota; Viridiplantae; Streptophyta; Magnoliopsida; Poales; Poaceae. The record is from RNAcentral.
GGAGGGUACCUCUACUUCCACAAGGCCCCCAACAAGGAGGAGCUCCACCGUGAAACCUGUCACAAGGUGAACGAAAUAGAAAUGUUCAGAAAAGCAGUAGAUUCAGAAACCCUGACACAAUUAUCAUUCUGUAGAUCAAAGCUCUGCACCAGUAUGAUUGCUUGAGGGCCAACAAGGCAACUUCUGCAUGGGGCCUUGAAGCACGUGUUCCGUUCUUGGACAAGGAGUUUAUCAAUGAGGCAAUGAGCAUAGAUCCAGAGUGGAAAAUGGUAUGCUCAAGCUCGAAUACCUCACAAAUCUAGGAACUUGAGAAAGGCGUUACUGUAUUGGUUUUAAAUACCUUCCUAGUUUCUACUUUUAAACAAUUACCAUUUCCGAUCUUACAGAUCCGGCCUGAUCUUGGAAGAAUUGAGAAGUGGGUGCUGAGGAAAGCAUUUGAUGACGAGGAGCAGCCUUUCCUGCCAAAGGUAAUAUUUUAGUUGAAAUUUCUGCUACAUUCACAUGUUAUAAGAGCAAGUGGAGUUAACAGUUUCUGUUGCGUUACAACCGCAGCAUAUUCUGUACAGGCAGAAAGAGCAGUUCAGUGAUGGUGUUGGCUAUAGCUGGAUUGAUGGCCUAAAGGCUCACGCAGAAUCGAAUGUAAAUAGCUGCUGCUUCUCAUGUUCAGACACACUAGUGUUUAUCCUCAAAAUUAAGGCCACAUAUAAAAAAAUUCUAUAAAUGAUGUGAUUGCAAUCUAUAUGAAAUUACUAAUGCAGGUGACUGAUAAGAUGAUGUCAAAUGCAAAGUUCAUCUACCCACACAACACCCCGACAACAAAAGAAGCCUACUAUUACAGGAUGAUCUUUGAGAGGUUCUUCCCCCAGGCAAGUAAAUGAAACAGCAUGAACUUGAAACAGAAAACUCACAUCACCGUAGGAACCGCUAGGUUGAUAAGUGUGCCUGUUGCUCUUGUACCAGAACUCGGCGAUCCUGACGGUGCCAGGCGGACCAAGCGUGGCAUGCAGCACAGCGAAGGCGGUAGAAUGGGAUGCUCAGUGGU